GGGCCUAUAGCUCAAUUGGUUAGAGCAUCCGGCUCAUAACCGGACGGUUCAGGGUUCGAGACCCUGUAGGCCCA
RNAcentral lists this transfer RNA (74 nucleotides) under Caudoviricetes sp. Its description in RNAcentral is "tRNA-Met". It matches the Rfam family "tRNA". From Rfam's summary of the family: Transfer RNA (tRNA) molecules are approximately 80 nucleotides in length. Their secondary structure includes four short double-helical elements and three loops (D, anti-codon, and T loops). Lineage: Duplodnaviria; Heunggongvirae; Uroviricota; Caudoviricetes. The record is from RNAcentral.